Molecule: ribosomal RNA, 33 nt
Filed under: Arianta arbustorum arbustorum
Lineage: Eukaryota; Metazoa; Mollusca; Gastropoda; Stylommatophora; Helicidae
Description: partial 28S ribosomal RNA
Source: RNAcentral
UCCGACCUCAGAUCGGACGAGAUUACCCGCUGA